This 318-nucleotide ribosomal RNA is filed under the name Salmonella enterica. RNAcentral describes it as "partial 23S ribosomal RNA". It matches the Rfam family "Bacterial large subunit ribosomal RNA", at positions 2613 to 2925 of the family's 2925-position model. The record is from RNAcentral. Lineage: Bacteria; Pseudomonadati; Pseudomonadota; Gammaproteobacteria; Enterobacterales; Enterobacteriaceae.
AGAACGUCGUGAGACAGUUCGGUCCCUAUCUGCCGUGGGCGUUGGAAGAUUGAGAGGGGUUGCUCCUAGUACGAGAGGACCGGAGUGAACGCACCACUGGUGUUCGGGUUGUCAUGCCAAUGGCAUUGCCCGGUAGCUAAGUGCGGAAGAGAUAACCGCUGAAAGCAUCUAAGCGGGAAACUUGCCUCGAGAUGAGUCUUCCCUGUCACUUUAAGUGACCUAAAGGAACGUUUAAGACUAAGACGUUGAUAGGCUGGGUGUGUAAGCGUAGCGAUACGUUGAGCUAACCAGUACUAAUGAACCGUGAGGCUUAACCUG